RNAcentral lists this ribosomal RNA (1160 nucleotides) under Pleurocapsa fuliginosa. Its description in RNAcentral is "16S ribosomal RNA". It matches the Rfam family "Bacterial small subunit ribosomal RNA", at positions 356 to 1528 of the family's 1533-position model. The record is from RNAcentral. Lineage: Bacteria; Bacillati; Cyanobacteriota; Cyanophyceae; Pleurocapsales; Pleurocapsaceae.
GGGGAAUUUUCCGCAAUGGGCGAAAGCCUGACGGAGCAAUACCGCGUGAGGGAGGAAGGUUUUUGGAUUGUAAACCUCUUUUCUCAAGGAAGAAGAAAGUGACGGUACUUGAGGAAUAAGCAUCGGCUAACUCCGUGCCAGCAGCCGCGGUAAUACGGAGGAUGCAAGCGUUAUCCGGAAUCAUUGGGCGUAAAGCGUCCGCAGGUGGUUAAUCAAGUCUGCUGUUAAAGACAGAAGCUCAACUUCUGAUAGGCAGUGGAAACUGGGUAACUAGAGUAUGGUAGGGGUUGAGGGAAUUCCCAGUGUAGCGGUGAAAUGCGUAGAUAUUGGGAAGAACACCAGUGGCGAAGGCGCUCAACUGGGCCAUAACUGACACUCAGGGACGAAAGCUAGGGUAGCGAAAGGGAUUAGAUACCCCUGUAGUCUUAGCUGUAAACGAUGAACACUAGGCGUUGCUUGUAUCGACCCGAGCAGUGCCGUAGCCAACGCGUUAAGUGUUCCGCCUGGGGAGUACGCACGCAAGUGUGAAACUCAAAGGAAUUGACGGGGGCCCGCACAAGCAGUGGAGUAUGUGGUUUAAUUCGAUGCAACGCGAAGAACCUUACCAGGACUUGACAUCUCGAGAAGUUCGCCUCAUAGCGAAUGUGCCUUAGGGAACUCGAAGACAGGUGGUGCAUGGCUGUCGUCAGCUCGUGUCGUGAGAUGUUGGGUUAAGUCCCGCAACGAGCGCAACCCUCGUUCUUAGUUGCCAGCAUUAAGUUGGGCACUUUAGGAAGACUGCCGGUGACAAACCGGAGGAAGGUGGGGAUGACGUCAAGUCAGCAUGCCCCUUACGUUCUGGGCUACACACGUACUACAAUGGUUGGGACAAAGGGCAGCAAACGAGCAAUCGCGAGCGAAUCUCAUCAAACCCAGCCUCAGUUCAGAUUGCAGGCUGCAACUCGCCUGCAUGAAGGAGGAAUCGCUAGUAAUCGCAGGUCAGCAUACUGCGGUGAAUUCGUUCCCGGGCCUUGUACACACCGCCCGUCACACCAUGGAAGUUGGCCACGCCCGAAGUCGUUACCCUAACCCUUUUGGGAGGGGGAUGCCGAAGGCAGGGCUGGUGACUAGGGUGAAGUCGUAACAAGGUAGCCGUACCGGAAGGUGUGGCUGGAUCACCU